GUUUGACUGGGGCGGUCGCCUCCUAAAAGGUAACGGAGGCGCUCAAAGGUUCCCUCAGAAUGGUUGGAAAUCAUUCAUAGAGUGUAAAGGCAUAAGGGAGCUUGACUGCGAGACCUACAAGUCGAGCAGGGUCGAAAGACGGACUUAGUGAUCCGGUGGUUCCGCAUGGAAGGGCCAUCGCUCAACGGAUAAAAGCUACCCCGGGGAUAACAGGCUUAUCUCCCCCAAGAGUUCACAUCGACGGGGAGGUUUGGCACCUCGAUGUCGGCUCAUCGCAUCCUGGGGCUGUAGUCGGUCCCAAGGGUUGGGCUGUUCGCCCAUUAAAGCGGUACGCGAGCUGGGUUCAGAACGUCGUGAGACAGUUCGGUCCCUAUCCGUCGUGGGCGUAGGAAAUUUGAGAGGAGCUGUCCUUAGUACGAGAGGACCGGGAUGGACAUACCUCUGGUGUACCAGUUGUCGUGCCAACGGCAUAGCUGGGUAGCUAUGUGUGGACGGGAUAAGUGCUGAAAGCAUCUAAGCAUGAAGCCCCCCUCAAGAUGAGAUU
This 544-nucleotide ribosomal RNA is filed under the name Staphylococcus aureus. RNAcentral describes it as "partial 23S ribosomal RNA". It matches the Rfam family "Bacterial large subunit ribosomal RNA", at positions 2268 to 2811 of the family's 2925-position model. The record is from RNAcentral. Lineage: Bacteria; Bacillati; Bacillota; Bacilli; Caryophanales; Staphylococcaceae.